CACACAUUGGAAUGUGGCUAACUCCUCCUAAGGCUUUCGUCCCACUGACACCAAAUUUGCUCAGGCCAAUCUACACCCCAUGGCCAUUCAAAGUUGUAAAAAUCAUGACGCUGCACCCCACGGUUUACGUUCUAGGGGGCGCCAAAGAUGACCCAAAUAUCCACAUUCUUAAAAGAAUCCACAUCCCCCCCCCCCCCCCAUCCCCCAUCCCCCAUCCCCCAUGGCAGGAGAAACAGUCAAGUUUUUCCUGCCCAUCACUCAAUGGCUCAAUCGCAUCGCUCUCCCGGCAACACCGUAACGAGGAGCAACUUGCCGUUUGGAUAUAUCCUAGCUGUGUUUGUGCCCUCACUCAUGGUCCAGACUUUUUUCAAAUAGGACAUGUAGUUUGUCUGCAGCGAGUGUUUUGGUAGAAACUGCGCCUCCCAUUCAUUAUAAUGGGAAAUGACCACAGACAAGUGCGCACACCAUCUUUGGACCUUGAGUGUGACGCGAUCGGGAGGGGGAGGCGGUCGCACUGGGGGCGGCGCAACGCGGCUCGGGCCCGCCAGUGCCCCAACGGGGCCCUAGUUAUUAUUUUUCCUCCGCUUUAAACUGGAAAAUGGCCCACUUCCCACUGGCGAAAACUCAGGAAAUUUGGCAGGACGACCGGGCCUGGUGAAAAAUUCGAUAUUCUGAAGUCGCCCAAACAAUAAAAUGCAAAAUGGCUCCAUAGCGCCCCCUAAGGUGAAAAUUCACAUGACGGCUGUACGCUUUGUCAUAUUGACACAAAAAUUGACACACACAUGUAUCUCAAUAAGAUCUACAAAAAAGUCAGUGCGGGCGUAUCUGUCAAAUGUACGGUUAAUGGGUUAUUUUGCAUUUUUUGCAGAUCUGCACACAUUGGAAUUUCGCUAACUCCUCCGAAGGCUUUCGUUCGACCGGCACCACAUUUGCGCAGGCCAAUCUACCCCCCAUGGCCAUUAAAAGUUGUACAAAUCAUGACGCUGCACCCCACGGUUUACGUUCUAGGGGGCGCCAAAGAUAACCCAAAAUCCACAUUCUUAAAAGUCUUAUAACUUUUUAUUUUUGUCCUCACUGCCCUCCAAGUUUUCUAGGAUGAUGCAAUGUCCAGCCAUCAACACAUUUGUGAAGGAAUUUUUACUCCCCAAAAGAGCGCCCCCCCAUGGCAGGAGAAAAAAGUCAAUUUUUUCUUGUCCCCUUACAUGAAAAUACACAUUGUUGAGUGUCACGCCUGAACGCUUUGUCAUAUUGACACAAAAAUUGACAAUCAUGUGUAUCUCAAUUAGAUCUACGAAAAAGUCAAAAAGCGCGUAUCUGUAUAAUGUACGGUUAAAGGGCUAUUUCGCAUUUUUUGCCGAUUAGCACACAUUGGAAUGUGGCUAUCUCCUCCUAAGGCUUUCGUCCCACCGAUACCAAAUUUGCUCAGGGCAAUCUACACCCCAUGCCCAUUCAAAGUUGUAAAAAUCAUGACGCUGCACCCCACGGUUUACGUUCUAGGGGGCGCCAAAGAUGACCCAAAAAUCCACAUUCUUAAAAGUCAUUUUGGCCACUGCAGGAGUACAGAGUACUGCAGUUCUAGGGGGCGCCAAAGAUGACCCAAAAAUCCACAUUCUUAAAAGUCUUUUUGGCCACUGCAGGAGUACAGAGUACUGCAGGAUACACACACAUAUACACACACACACACACACACACACACUCAGAGUCUGUUUUUUAGCACCUGCAAAAACAUGCUGUUUACAUAUUUGACAAGAAUGCAGAGGCUUCCUUUUGCCCCUGAAAAAAAUCAGAUUUCAAACACAACUUGACUGUUCAUUUCUCCAAAAGACAACCAUGAAGCUCCAUCCAAACCUGAAGCAGAUAGUUGGUGCAUGUGUACAGUAACCUGAGGGGAGUGAGGUGACUAUUUCUGAGGAGAACAUGAGCAGUGAAGAUUCACCUUGGAGCUAGAACAGGGACGUGCACAUGAUUAUACAGGGGCAGGGGCUCAAGUUUUUUCCAGUCAUUUAUACAAUAUGGAAAUUAAUGUGAAAUUAAACCACAAAGUAUUAAUAGAAAGGUAAUGACUGUCCUGUGUAGGUGACAGUGAUAUCGAAUAGGCUAGGCACUCACGAGGCUGGCUGUGGCAAGUGUAAGUGAAAGCAACACGCACUGGCAGGAAGAACAGCAAACGCUGAUGAAGGAAAAGGGUCUUUGCAGUGAUGGGCGUUACCAGAGAGGGCGAUGGCCAGAGGACACAAAUGGGACGGGGAGGCAGCACGUUGGGGGGGGGGGGGGGGCGACACGGCUCGGGCCCGCCAGUGCCCCAACGGGGUCCUAGUUAUUAGGGCCCGAGCCAGCUGCAGAGCAGCCGGGCGUAGAGCCCUAUUAUUCCUGUAUAGGUUUUUCUUUCUUCUUUUUUUUCUUUCUUUCUUUCUUUCUUUCUUUCUUCUUAUUUUUCCUCCCCUUUGAAGGGGAAAAUGGCCCACUUCCCACUGGCGAAAACUCAUGAAAUUUGGCAGGACGACCGGGCCUGGUGAAAAAUUCGAUAUUCUGAAGUCGCCCAAACAAUAAAAUUCAAAAUGGCUCCAUAGCGCCCCCUAAGGCGAAAAUUCACACUAUUGACUGUCACGGCUGUACGCUUUGUCAUAUUGACACAAAAUUUGACACACACGUGUAUCUCAAUAUGGUCUACGAAAAAGUCAGCGCGGGCGCAUCUGUGAAAUGUACGGUUAGAGGGUUAUUUCGCAUUUUUUGCCGAUCUGCACACAUUGGAAUUUCGCUAACUCCUCCGAAGGCAUUCGUUCCACCGGCACCACAUUUGCUCAGGCCAAUCUACACCCCAUGGCCAUUAAAAGUUGUACAAAUCAUGACGCUGCACCCCACGGCUUACGUUCUAGGGGGCGCCAAAGAUAACCCAAAAAUCCACAGUCUUAAAAGUCUUAUAACUUUUUAUUUUUGUCCUCACUGGCCUCCAAGUUCUCUAGGAUGAUGCAAUGUCCAGCCAUCAACACAUUUGUGAAGGAAUUUUUACUCCCCAAAAGAGCGCCCCCACAUGGCAGGAGAAAAAAGUCCAUUUUUUCUUGUCCCCUAAGGUGAAAAUACACAUUGUUGAGUGUCACGCCUAUACGCUUUGUCAUAUUGACCCAAAAUUUGACAAUCACGUGAAUCUCAAUAAGAUCUACGAAAAAGUCAAUGGGCACGUAUCUGUCAAAUGUACGGUUAAAGGGUUAUUUUGCAUUUUUUCCCGAUCCGCACACAUUGGAAUUUCGCUAACUCCUCCGAAGGCUUUAGUUCCACCGCCACCAAAUUUGCUCAGGCCAAUCUACACCCCAUGGCCAUUAAAAGUUGUACAAAUCAUGACGCUGCACUCCACGGUUUACGUUCUAGGGGGCGCCAAAGAUAACCCAAAAAUCCACAUUCUUAAUAGUCUUAUAACUUUUUAUUUUUGUCCUCACUGGCCUCCAAGUUUUCUAGGAUGAUGCAAUGUCCAGCCAUCAACACAUUUGUAAAGGAAUUUUUACUCCCGAAAAGAGCGCCCCCCCAUGGCAGGAGAAAAAAGUCCAUUUUUUCUUGUCCCCUAAGAUGAAAAAACACAUUGUUGACUGUCACGCCUAUACGCUUUGUCAAAAUGACACAAAAUUUGACACACACGUGUAUCUCAAUAAGAUCUACGAAAAAGUCAAUGGGCACGUAUCUGUAAAAUGUACGGUUAAAGGGCUAUUUCGCAUUUUUUGCCGAUUCGCACACAUUGGAAUGUGGCUAACUCCUCCUAAGGCUUUCUUCCCACCGACACCAAAUUUGCUCAAGCCGAUCUACAUCCCAUGGCCAUUCAAAGUUGUAAAAAUCAUGCUGCUGCACACCAUGGUUUACGUUCUAGGGGGCGCCAAAGAUGACCCAAAAAUCCACAUUCUUAAAAGAAUCCACAUCCCCCCCCCCCCCCCCCAAGGCAGGAGAAAAAGUCCAGUUAACCCUGCCCAUCGCUCAAUGGCUCAAUCGCAUCGCUCUCCUGGCAACACCGUAAGGAGGAGCAACUUGCCACUUGGAUAUAUCCUAGCUGUGUUUGUGCCCUCACUCAUGGUCCAGACUUUUUUCAAAUAGGACAUGUAGUUUGUCUGCAGCGACCGUUUUGGUAGAAACUGCGCCUCCCAUUCAUUAUAAUGGGAAAUGACCACAGACAAGUGCGCACACCAUCUUUGGACCUUGAGUGUGACGUGAUUGGGAGGGGUAGGCGGUCGCGCUGGGGGCGGCGCGACGCGGCUCGGGCCCGACAGUGCCCCACCGGGGCCCUAGUUCUUCUUAUUUUUCCUCCCCUUUGAAGGGGAAAAUGGCCCACUUCCCACUGGCGAAAACUCAUGAAAUUUGGCAGGACGACCGGGCCUGGUGAAAAAUUCGAUAAUCUGAAGUCGCCCAAACAAUAAAAUGCAAAAUGGCUCCAUAGCGCCCCCUAAGGUGAAAAUUCACACUAUUGACCGUCACGCCUGUACGCUUUGUCAUAUUGACACAAAAAUUGACACACACAUGUAUCUCAAUAAGAUCUACAAAGAAGUCAGUGCGGGCGUAUCUGUCAAAUGUACGGUUAAAGGGUUAUUUCGCAUUUUUGGCGAUCUGCACACAUUGGAAUUUCGCUAACUCCUCCGAAGGCUUUCGUUCCACCGGCACCAAAUUUGCUCAGGCCAAUCUACACCCCAUGGCCAUUAAAAGUUGUACAAAUCAUGACGCUGCACCCCACGGUUUACGUUCUAGGGGGCGCCAAAGAUAACCCAAAAAUCCACAGUCUUAAAAGUCUUAUAACUUUUUAUUUUUGUCCUCACUGGCCUCCAAGUUCUCUAGGAUGAUGCAAUGUCCAGCCAUCAACACAUUUGUGAAAGAAUUUUUUCUCCCCCCCCCCCCCCCCCCCCAUGGCAGGAGAAAAAGUCAAGUUUUUCCUGCCCAUCGCUCAAUGGCUCAAACGCAUCGCUCUCUCGGCGAAACCGAAAGGAGGAGCAACUUGCCAUUUGGAUAUAUCGAAGCUGUGUUUGUGCCCUCACUCAUGGUCCAGACUUUUUUCAAAAAGGACAUGGAGUUUGUCUGCAGCGAGCAUUUUGGUAGAAACCGCGCCUCCCAUUCAUUAUAAUGGUAAAUGACCACAGACAAGUGCGCACACCAUCUUUGGACCUUGAGUGUGACGCGAUCGGGAGGGGUAGGCGGUCGCGCUGGGGGCGGCGCGACACGGCUUGGGCCCGCCAGUGCCCCACCGGGGCCCUAGUUAUUAUUUUUCCUCCGCUUUAAACUGGAAAAUGGCCCACUUCCCACUGGCGAAAACUCAUGAAAUUUGGCAGGACGACCGGGCCUGGUGAAAAAUUCGAUAUUCUUAAGUCGCCCAAACAAUAAAAUGCAAAAUGGCUCCAUAGCGCCCCCUAAGGUGAAAAUUCACACUAUUGACUGUCAUGCCUGUACGCUUUGUCAAAAUGACACAAAAAUUGACACACACAUGUAUCUCAAUAAGAUCUACAAAAAAGUCAGUGCGGGCGUAUCUGUCAAAUGUACGGUUAAAGGGUUAUUGCGCAUUUUUUGCAGAUCCCCACACAUUGGAAUUUCGCUAACUCCUCUGAAGACUUUCGUUCCACCAGCACCACAUUUGCUCAGGCCAAUCUACACCCCAUGGCCAUUAAAAGUUAUUCAAAUCAUGACGCUGCACCCCACGGUUUAGGUUCUAGGGGGCGCCAAAGAUAACCCUAAAAUCCACAUAUUUAAAAGUCUUAUAACUUUUUAUUUUUGCCCUCACUGGCCUCCAAUUUUUCAAGGAUGAUGCAAUGUCCAGCCAUCAACACAUUUGUGAAGGAAUUUUUACUCCCCAAAAGAGCGCCCCCCCAUGGCAGGAGAAAAAAGUCCAUUUUUUCUUGUCCCCUAAGGUGAAAAUACACAUUGUUGAGUGUCACGCCUGAACGCUUUGUCAUAUUGACACAAAAUUUGACACACACGUGUAUCUCAAUAAGAUCUACGAAAAAGUCAAAGAGCGCGUAUCUGUAUAAUGUACGGUUAAAGAGCUAUUUCGCAUUUUUUGCCGAUCCGCACACAUUGGAAUUUCGCUAACUCCUCCGAAGGCUUUCGUUCCACCGGCACCAAAUUUGCUCAGGCCAAUCUACACCCCAUGGCCAUUAAAAGUUGUAAAAAUCAUGACGCUGCACCUCACGGUUUACGUUCUAGGGGGCGCCAAAGAUGACCCAAAUAUACAUUACAGCAGACAAAGUAGUUUUGCCCACUGAGUGGCGCCAAAGGGACUUGUCUAUGGAGUCUGGGGGUCACUAUUGGCCGUUUUUGACUACUUUAGAUUUUACCUUUAUAUUUCCUCUUAAAAUUUUUUUACCUUGCCUUGCCUGGUAUCAUUCUUUUCAGCACAACCUCACCUGUGUUAAUUUACAGUUAUUUUAUCAUUUUGACAUACUGUAUUUACACAAUGGACCCAAAUUCACACACAAAACAUAAAAUCCGAGUGGAAAAAAGUAAAAUUUUUACUGUGAAAACCACAAAUAUGUGUGAUGAACUGUUUUUAAAACUUAAACUUCAAAUAAAAAUUGUAAACUUCAAAACAUAUGCAAAUUUUUAACAAAGAACAUAGUAAUUUACCUCUAUUUACAUCAAAAUGCAGGCAAUGGCCCAGGCGUUCUUUGUAAAAUUAUUUACAAAACACUGUAUAGUCUCACAAAUGUCACUUUUUAUUUAUGCCACUACAAAAAAACAUGAUGUAAAUGAUGCAUGAUGUAAAACAUGAUGUAAAAAACUUGUGUAGAUCCUCCUCUAUGUUAGUCCAUGUGUAUUUUUUCCAUAAUUCUUUGUUUUGUCCAGCAUUUUUGUUAGUGUAACUGCAGAUUGUGCUGACAGUGUCAUGGCAAAAAAAAAAAAAAAAAAAAACUGAAAAUGCCUCAACAUGAACCCCUGGUGGUCUCUGAGGGUGAAACCUGCUAACUGCUGCAGCUCUGUCAGCUUCAGUCUCCCAUGCAGAGCUCGGAGCGCAUGUGUGGCUCUGCACCCUUAGCAGCGUUGCCAACUCCUCAGUAAGGAAAGCCUGCUUCAUGUCAGAGUCUCUGAACUCCAGAAGAAGUUGAUAAAAUUCCCUUUCUUUCUAAAAAAAAAAAGUCGUAAGGGGGGUCUGAAAAGUCAUUGAAUCCAACAACAAAGUCGCUAGGUUUGCAACUACGUGUCCCAGACUGCAUCCCUGCUGAGAGUCCCUCCCUCCCUUCUCAUGUUGCAGGAAGAAGGUAAGCGCCCGCCCCUUGUCAAUCAGUCACCAUAUAAUUUUGGAUUGGUUGUUGUGGUGAAGUUUUCCACCAAUAGGAGAGAUGUUGUGGUGUGUUUUUUUUUUCUUUUGGCAACCCUUUUUCGCCUGUAAGACCUGUCGCUAAUGUCUGCAUGCUAUGUUUUCCUGUCUCAUACAGCGCGAUCGAGCGCCGAACGUGAUCAAAUAAGCAGAAAAAAAGUAUCGCAGACAUAAUUUAUCAUAACUCUGGUUUUAUUUGGCCUAUCAACACAAUUUAAAAACUGGUAUAUAGUUUAAGGUCCUCACUUUGGAGAUAAGUUGAAACGGAGAGUCAACGAGGCUCUGUCUUGCAGCUACAUCCGGUUAAAUAUGUCAUGUGACUUGAACACUGGGGAGCGUCAAUCGACUGCAGAGCCAGCAGACAAAGUAGUUAUGGCCACUGAGAGGCACACAUUUGUCAUAUGCUAUAAUCCUAACAUAUUUUAAUGCUUUUUCUAUUUAAACCUAAUGGAUCUAAGGUUUGACCUUCAAAAUUUAGGAAGAAUAUGUUUUUGCAGUAAUGACCCCCUUAAACAACCAGAGGUCCUUUCCUAAAGUUUAUGGAAAUUUUAGUGAAGGCCUUGGUUUCUGUCCUUGCAAAAUGCAUAGAAAUAAUAAAGCUAAAUACCAUAAAAUGGUCUUGGCGUAUUAGCAGUGAUAUAAAAUAGUGGUUUGAAUAUGAAUGAACAACAAAAAAAAACAUCAACAGAGCCUUUUUGAGUUAGGAUUCUUUCAUUAUUACACAAAAACAGACAUAGACAGACAUCUGAAGGAAAAGGGAAUGAUCAGCCCUCCUGACUCUCAGAUGAAUCUUCAAAAUUCACCUCAGAAAUAUGCUUAUUCUUCUCAGAGUACUGCAGGAUACACACACACACACACACACACACACACACACACACACACACACACACACACACACACACACACACACACACACACACACACUCAGAGUCUGUUUUUUAGCACCUGCAAAAACAUGCUGUUUACAUAUUUGACAAGAAUGCAGAGGCUCCUUUUGCCCCUGAAAAAAAUCUAAUUUCAAACACAACUUGACUGCUCAUUUCUCCAAAAGACAACCAUGAAGCGCUAUCUAAACCUGAAGCAUGCAGUUGCUGCGUGUGUACAGUAACCUGAGGGGAGUGAGGUGACUGCUUCUGAGGAGAACAUGAGCAGUGAAGAUUCACCUUAGAGCCAGAACAGGGACGUGCACAUGAUUAUACAGGGGCAGGGGCUCAAGUCUUUUCCAGUCCUUUAUACAAUAUGGAAAUUAAUGUGAAAUUAAAAAACAAAGUAUUAAUAGAAAGGUAAGGACUGUCCUGUGUAGAUGACAGUGAUAUCCAAUAGGCUAGGCACUCACGAGGUUGGCUGUGGCAAGUGUAAGUGAAAGCAACACGCACUGGCAGGAAGAACAGCAAACGCCGAUGAAGGAAAAGGGUCUUUGCAGUGAUGGGCGUUACCAGAGAGGGCGAUGGCCAGAGGACGCGAAUGGGACGGGGAGGCAGCGUGUUGGGGGGGGGGAGGGGGCGCGACACGGCUCGGGCCCGCCAGUGCCCCAACGGGGCCCUAGUUAGGGCCCGAGCCAGCUGCAGAGCAGCCGGGCGUAGGCCCUAUUAUUCCCCAAGUGGUUUUUCUUUGUUUCUUUCUUUCUUUAGGGCCCGAGCGUAGCUGCUAAGCAGCUGCGAGAGCCCUCUUGUUCCUGUAGUUUCCUUCUUUUGUUAUUAUUAUUAUUUUUCCUCCCCUUUAAACUGGAAAAUGGCCCACUUCCCACUGGCGAAAACUCAUGAAAUUUGGCAGGACGACCGGGCCUGGUGAAAAAUUUGAUAUUCCGAAGUCGCCCAAACAAGAAAAUGCAAAAUGGCUCCAUAGCGCCCCCUAAGGUGAAAAUUCACACUAUUGACUGUCACGCCUGUACGCUUUGUCAAAAUGACACAAAAAUUGACACACACAUGUAUCUCAAUAAGAUCUACAAAAAAGUCAGUGCGGGCGUAUCUGUCAAAUGUACGGUUAAAGGGUUAUUUCGCAUUUUUUGCCGAUCCGCACACAUUGGAAUUUCGCUAACUCCUCCGAAGGCUUUCGUUCCACCGGCACCACAUUUGCUCAGGCCAAUCUACACCCCAUGGCCAUUAAAAGUUAUUCAAAUCAUGACGCUGCACCCCACGGUUUAGGUUCUAGGGGGCGCCAAAGAUAACCCUAAGAUCCACAUAUUUAAAAGUCUUAUAACUUUUUAUUUUUGCCCUCACUGGCCUCCAAGUUUUCUAGGAUGAUGCAAUGUCCAGCCAUCAACACAUUUGUGAAGGAAUUUUUACUCCCCAAAAGAGCGCCCCCCCAUGGCAGGAGAAAAAAGUCCAUUUUUUCUUGUCCCCUAAGGUGAAAAUACACAUUGUUGAGUGUAACACCUGUACGCUUUGGCAAAAUGACACAAAAAUUGACACACACAUGUAUCUCAAUAAAAUCUACGAAAAAGUCAAUGCGCGCGUAUCUGUCAAAUGUACGGUUAAAGGGUUAUUCCGCAUUUUUUGCCGAUCCGCACACAUUGGAAUUUCGCUAACUCCUCCGAAGGCUUUCGUUCCACCGGCACCACAUUUGCUCAGGCCAAUCUACACCCCAUGGCCAUUAAAAGUUAUUCAAAUCAUGAUGCUGCACCCCACGGUUUAGGUUCUAGGGGGCGCCAAAGAUAACCCUAAAAUCCACAUAUUUAAAAGUCUUAUAACUUUUUAUUUUUGUCCUCACUGGCCUCCAAGUUUUCUAGGAUGAUGCAAUGUACAGCCAUCAACACAUUUGUGAAGGAAUUUUUACUCCCCAAAAGAGCGCCCCCCCAUGGCAGGAGAAAAAAGUCCAUUUUUUCUUGUCCCCUAAGGUGGAAAUUCACAUUGUUGAGUGUCACGCCUGUACGCUUUGUCAUAUUGACACAAAAUUUGACAAUCACGUGCCUUGCCUGGUAUCAUUUUUUUUCAGCACAACCUCACCUGUGCGAAUUUACAGUUAUUUUAUCAUGUUGACAUACUGAAUUUACACAAUGGACCCAAAUUCACACACAAAACAUAAAAUCUGAGUGGAAAAAAGUAACAUUUUUACUGUGAAAACCACAAAUAUGUGUGAUGAACUGUUUUUAAAACUUAAACUUCAAAUAAAAAUUGUAAACUUCAAAACAUAUGCAAAUUUUUAACAAAGAACAUAGUGAUUUACCUCUAUUUACAUCAAAAUGCAGGCAAUGGCCCAGGCGUUCUUUGUAAAAUUAUUUACAAAACACUGUAUAGUCUCACAAAUGUCACUUUUUAUUUAUGCCACUACAAAAAAACAUGAUGUAAAUGAUGCAUGAUGUAAAACAUGAUGUAAAAAACUUGUGUAGAUCCUCCUCUAUGUCAGUCCAUGUGUAAUUUUUCCAUAAUUCUUUGUUUUUUGCAGCAUUUUUGUUAGUGUAACUGCAGAUUGUGCUGACAGUGUCUAUGGCACAAAAAAAAAAAAAUUUUUUAAAAUGCCUCAACAUGAACCCCUGGUGGUCUCUGAGGGUGAAACCUGCUAACUGCUGCAGCUCUGUCAGCUUCAGUCUCCCAUGCAGAGCUCGGAGCGCAUGUGUGGCUCUGCACCCUUAGCAGCGUUGCUAACUCCUCAGUAAGGAAAGCCUGCUUCAUGUCAGAGUCUCUAAACUCCAGAAGAAGUCGAUAAAAGUCCCUUUCUUUCUAAAAAAAAGUCGUUAGGGGGUCUGAAAAGUCAUUGAAUCUAACAACAAAGUCGCUAGGUUUGCAACUACGUGUCCCAGACUGCAUCCCUGCUGAGAGUCCCUCCCUCCCUUCUCAUGUUGCAGGAAGAACGUAAGCGCCCGCCCCUUGUCAAUCAGUCACCAUAUAAUUUUGGAUUGGUUGUUGUGGUGAAGUUUUCCACCAAUAGGAGAGAUGUUGUGGUGUGUUUUUUUUUCUUUUGGCAAGCCUUUUCCGCCUGUAAGACCUGUCGCUAAUGUCUGCAUGCUAUGUUUUCCUGUCUCAUACAGCGCGAUCGAGCGCCGAACGUGAUCAAAAUAAGCAGAAAAAAAGUAUCGCGGACAUAAUUUAUCAUAACUCUGGUUUUAUUUGGCCUAUCAACACAAUUUAAAAACUGGUAUAUAGGUUGAGGUCCUCACUUUUGAGAUAAGUUGAAACGGAGAGUCAACGAGGCUCCGUCUUGCAGCUACAUCCGGUUAAAUAUGUCAUGUGACUUGAACGCACACACAGACACACACACACGCACACACACACACACACACACACACACUCAGAGUCUGGUUUUUAGCACCUGCAAAAACAUGCUAUUUACAUAUUUGACAAGAAUGCAGAGGCUCCUUUUGCCCCUGAAAAAAAUCAAAUUUCAAACACAACUUGACUGGUCAUUUCUCCAAAAGACAACCAUGAAGCUCCAUCCAAACCUGAAGCAGGCAGUUGGUGCAUGUGUACAGUAACCUGAGGGGAGUGAGGUGACUGCUUCUGAGGAGAACAUGAGCAGUGAAGAUUCACCUUAGAGCUAGAACAGAGACGUGCACAUGAUUUUUCCAGUUUUUUUCAAGUUUUUUCCAGUUGUUUAUACAAUAUGGAAAUUAAUGUGAAAUUAAAAAACAAAGUAUUAAUAGAAAGGUAAUGACUGUCCUGUGUAGGUGACAGUGAUAUCCAAUAGGCUAGGCACUCACGAGGCUGGCUGUGGCAAGUGUAAGUGAAAGCAACACGCACUGGCAGGAAGAACAGCAAACGCCUAUGAAGGAAAAGGGUCUUUGCAGUGAUGGGCGUUACCAGAGAGGGCGAUGGCCAGAGGACACAAAUGGGACGGGGAGGCAGCGCGUUGGGGGGGGACGCGACACAGCUCGGGCCCGCCAGUGCCCCAACGGGGUCCUAGUUCUUUCUUUAGGGCCCGAGCGUAGCUGCUAAGCAGCUGCGAGAGCCCUCUUGUUCCUGUAGUUUCCUUCUUUUGUUAUUAUUAUUUUUCCUCCCCUUUGAACUGGAAAAUGGCCCACUUCCCACCCGCGAAAACUCAUGAAAUUUGGCAGGACGACCGGGCCUGGUGAAAAAUUUGAUAUUCCGAAGUCGCCCAAACAAGAAAAUGCAAAAUGGCUCCAUAGCGCCCCCUAAGGUGAAAAUUCACACUAUUGACUGUCACGCCUGUACGCUUUGUCAAAAUGACACAAAAAUUGACACACACAUGUAUCUCAGUAAGAUCUACAAAAAAGUCAGUGCGGGCGUAUCUGUCAAAUGUACGGUUAAAGGGUUAUUUCGCAUUUUUUGCCGAUCCGCACACAUUGGAAUUUCGCUAACUCCUCCGAAGGCUUUCGUUCCACCGGCACCACAUUUGCUCAGGCCAAUCUACACCCCAUGGCCAUUAAAAGUUAUUCAAAUCAUGACGCUGCACCCCACGGUUUAGGUUCUAGGGGGCGCCAAAGAUAACCCUAAGAUCCACAUAUUUAAAAGUCUUAUAACUUUUUAUUUUUGCCCUCACUGGCCUCCAAGUUUUCUAGGAUGAUGCAAUGUCCAGCCAUCAACACAUUUGUGAAGGAAUUUUUACUCCCCAAAAGAGCGCCCCCCCAUGGCAGGAGAAAAAAGUCAAUUUUUUCUUGUCCCCUAAGGUGAAAAUACACAUUGUUGAGUGUAACACCUGUACGCUUUGGCAAAAUGACACAAAAAUUGACACACACAUGUAUCUCAAUAAGAUCUACGAAAAAGUCAAUGCGCGCGUAUCUGUCAAAUGUACGGUUAAAGGGUUAUUCCGCAUUUUUUGCCGAUCCGCACACAUUGGAAUUUCGCUAACUCCUCCGAAGGCUUUCGUUCCACCGGCACCACAUUUGCUCAGGCCAAUCUACACCCCAUGGCCAUUAAAAGUUAUUCAAAUCAUGACGCUGCAUCCCACGGUUUAGGUUCUAGGGGGCGCCAAAGAUAACCCUAAAAUCCACAUAUUUAAAAGUCUUAUAACUUUUUAUUUUUGUCCUCACUGGCCUCCAAGUUUUCUAGGAUGAUGCAAUGUCCAGCCAUCAACACAUUUGUGAAGGAAUUUUUACUCCCCAAAAGAGCGCCCCCCCAUGGCAGGAGAAAAAAGUCAAUUUUUUCUUGUCCCCUAAGGUGGAAAUUCACACUAUUGACUGUCACGCCUGUACGCUUUAUCAUAUUGACACAAAAAUUGACACACAUAUGUAUCUCAAUAAGAUCUACAAAAAAGUCAAUUCGCGCGUAUCUGUCAAAUGUACGGUUAAAGGGCUAUUUUGCAUUUUUUGCCGAUUCGCACACAUUGGAAUGUGGCUAACUCCUCCUAAGGCUUUCGUCCCACUGACACCAAAUUUGCUCAGGCCAAUCUACACCCCAUGGCCAUUCAAAGUUGUAAAAAUCAUGACGCUGCACCCCACGGUUUACGUUCUAGGGGGCGCCAAAGAUGACCCAAAAAUCCACAUUCUUAAAAGAAUCCACAUCCCCCCUAUGGCAGGAGAAAAAGUCAAGUUUUUCCUGCCCAUCGCUCAAUGGCUCAAUCGCAUCGCUCUCCAGGCAACACCGUAAGGAGGAGCAACCUGGCAUUUCGAUAUAUCAUAGCUGUGUUUGUGCCCUCACUCAUGGUCCAGACUUUUUUCAAAUAGGACAUGAAGUUUGUCUGCAGCGAGUGUUUUGGUAGAAACUGCGCCUCCCAUUCAUUAUAAUGGGAAAUGACCACAGACAAGUGCGCACACCAUCUUUGGUUCUUGAGUGUGACUCGAUCGGGACGGGGAGGCGGUCGCGCUGGGGGCGGCGCGACACGGCUCGGGCCCGACAGUGCCCCACCGGGGCCCUAGUCUUUCUUUCUUUCUUUCUUCUUUUUCCUCCCCUUUGAACUGGAAAAUGGCCCACUUCCCACUGGCGAAAACUCAUGAAAUUUGGCAGGACGACCGGGCCUGGUGAAAAAUUCGAUAUUCUGAAGUCGCCCAAACAAUAAAAUGCAAAAUGGCUCCAUAGCGCCCCCUAAGGUGAAAAUUCACACUAUUGACUGUCACGCCUGUACGCUUUGUCAUAUUGACACAAAAAUUGACACACACAUGUAUCUCAAUAAGAUCUACAAAAAAGUCAGUGCGGGCGUAUCUGUCAAAUGUACGGUUAAAGGGUUAUUUCGCAUUUUUUGCCGAUCCGCACACAUUGGAAUUUCGCUAACUCCUCCGAAGGCUUUCGUUCCACCGGCACCACAUUUGCUCAGGCCAAUCUACACCCCGUGGCCAUUAAAAGUUAUCAAAAUCAUGACGCUGCACCCCAAGGUUUAGGUUCUAGGGGGCGCCAAAGAUAACACUAAAAUCCACAUAUUUAAAAGUCUUAUAACUUUUUAUUUUUGUCCUCACUGGCCUCCAAGUUUUCUAGGAUGAUGCAAUGUCCAGCCAUCAACACAUUUGUGAAGGAAUUUUUACUCCCCAAAAGAGCGCCCCCCCAUGGCAGGAGAAAAAAGUCCAUUUUUUCUUGUCCCCUUAGGUGAAAAUACACAUUGUUGAGUGUCACGCCUAUACGCUUUGUCAAAAUGACACAAAAAUUGACACACACAUGUAACUCAAUAAGAUCUACAAAAAAGUCCAUGCGCGCGUAUCUGUCAAAUGUACAGUUAAAGGGUUAUUCCGCAUUUUUUGCCGAUACGCACACAUUGGAAUUUCGCUAACUCCUCCGAAGGCUUUCGUUCCACCGGCACCACAUUUGCUCAGGCCAAUCUACACCCCAUGGCCAUUAAAAGUUAUUCAAAUCAUGAUGCUGCACCCCAUGGUUUAGGUUCUAGGGGGCGCCAAAAAUAACCCAAAAAUCCACAUUCUUAAAUGUUUUAUAACUUUUUAUUUUUGUCCUCACUGGCCUCCAAGUUUUCUAGGAUGAUGCAAUGUCCAGCCAUCAACACAUUUGUGAAGGAAUUUUUACUCCCCAAAAGAGCGCCCCCCCAUGGUAGGAGAAAAAAGUCAAUUUUUUCUUGUCCCCUUACAUAAAAAUACACAUUGUUGAGUGUCACGCCUGAACGCUUUGUCAUAUUGACACAAAAAUUGACAAUCAUGUGUAUCUCAAUUAGAUCUACGAAAAAGUCAAAGAGCGCGUAUCUGUAUAAUGUACGGUUAAAGGGCUAUUUUGCAUUUUUUGCCGAUUCGCACACAUUGGAAUGUGGCUAUCUCCUCCUAAGGCUUUCGUCCCACCGAUACCAAAUUUGCUCAGGGCAAUCUACACCCCAUGCCCAUUCAAAGUUGUAAAAAUCAUGACGCUGCACCCCACGGUUUACGUUCUAGGGGGCGCCAAAGAUGACCCAAAAAUCCACAUUCUUAAAAGUCAUUUUGGCCACUGCAGGAGUACAGAGUACUGCAGUUCUAGGGGGCGCCAAAGAUGACCCAAAAAUCCACAUUCUUAAAAGUCUUUUUGGCCACUGCAGGAGUACAGAGUACUGCAGGAUACACACACAUAUACACACACGCCAACAUACACACACACACACACACACACACACACACACACACACACACACAGACACACACACACACUCAGAGUCUGUUUUUUAGCACCUGCAAAAACAUGCUGUUUACAUAUUUGACAAGAAUGCAGAGGCUUCCUUUUGCCCCUGAAAAAAAUCAAAUUUCAAACACAACUUGACUGUUCAUUUCUCCAAAAGACAACCAUGAAGCUCCAUUUCAAACCUGAAGCAGAUAGUUGGUGCAUGUGUACAGUAACCUGAGGGGAGUGAGGUGACUAUUUCUGAGGAGAACAUGAGCAGUGAAGAUUCACCUUGGAGCUAGAACAGGGACGUGCACAUGAUUAUACAGGGGCAGGGGCUCAAGUUUUUUCCAGUCAUUUAUACAAUAUGGAAAUUAAUGUGAAAUUAAACCACAAAUAUGUGUGAUGAACUGUUUUUAAAACUUAAACUUCAAAUAAAAAUUGUAAACUUCAAAACAUAUGCAAAUUUUUAACAAAGAACAUAGUAAUUUACCUCUAUUUACAUCAAAAUGCAGGCAAUGGCCCAGGCGUUCUUUGUAAAAUUAUUUACAAAACACUGUAUAGUCUCACAAAUGUCACUUUUUAUUUAUGCCACUACAAAAAAACAUGAUGUAAAUGAUGCAUGAUGUAAAACAUGAUGUAAAAAACUUGUGUAGAUCCUCCUCUAUGUCAGUCCAUGUGUAAUUUUUCCAUAAUUCUUUGUUUUUUGCAGCAUUUUUGUUAGUGUAACUGCAGAUUUUGCUGACAGUGUCUAUGGCACAAAAAAAAAAAAAAAUUAAAAUGCCUCAACAUGAACCCCUGGUGGUCUCUGAGGGUGAAACCUGCUAACUGCUGCAGCUCUGUCAGCUUCAGUCUCCCAUGCAGAGCUCUGAGCGCAUGUGUGGCUCUGCACCCUUAGCAGCGUUGCUAACUCCUCAGUAAGGAAAGCCUGCUUCAUGUCAGAGUCUCUAAACUCCAGAAGAAGUCGAUAAAAGUCCCUUUCUUUCUAAAAAAAAGUCGUUAGGGUGUCUGAAAAGUCAUUGAAUCUAACAACAAAGUCGCUAGGUUUGCAACUACGUGUCCCAGACUGCAUCCCUGCUGAGAGUCCCUCCCUCCCUUCUCAUGUUGCAGGAAGAACGUAAGCGCCCGCCCCUUGUCAAUCAGUCACCAUAUAAUUUUGGAUUGGUUGUUGUGGUGAAGUUUUCCACCAAUAGGAGAGAUGUUGUGGUGUGUUUUUUUUUUCUUUUGGCAAGCCUUUUCCGCCUGUAAGACCUGUCGCUAAUGUCUGCAUGCUAUGUUUUCCUGUCUCAUACAGCGCGAUCGAGCGCCGAACGUGAUCAAAAUAAGCAGAAAAAAAGUAUCGCGGACAUAAUUUAUCAUAACUCUGGUUUUAUUUGGCCUAUCAACACAAUUUAAAAACUGGUAUAUAGGUUGAGGUCCUCACUUUUGAGAUAAGUUGAAACGGAGAGUCAACGAGGCUCCGUCUUGCAGCUACAUCAGGUUAAAUAUGUCAUGUGACUUGAACGCACACAUAGACACACACACACGCACACACACACACACACACACACACACACACACACACACACACACACACACACACACACACACUCAGAGUCUGGUUUUUAGCACCUGCAAAAACAUGCUAUUUACAUAUUUGACAAGAAUGCAGAGGCUCCUUUUGCCCCUGAAAAAAAUCAAAUUUCAAACACAACUUGACUGGUCAUUUCUCCAAAAGACAACCAUGAAGCUCCAUCCAAACCUGAAGCAGGCAGUUGGUGCAUGUGUACAGUAACCUGAGGGGAGUGAGGUGAGUGCUUCUGAGGAGAACAUGAGCAGUGAAGAUUCACCUUGGAGCUAGAACAGAGACAUGCACAUGAUUAUACGGGGGCAGGGGCUCAAGUUUUUUCCAGUCGUUUAUACAAUAUGGAAAUUAAUGUGAAAUUAAAACACAAAGUAUUAAUAGAAAGGUAAUGACUGUCCUGUGUAGGUGACAGUGAUAUCCAAUAGGCUAGGCACUCACGAGGCUGGCUGUGGCAAGUGUAAGUGAAAGCAACACGCACUGGCAGGAAGAACAGCAAACGCCGAUGAAGGAAAAGGGUCUUUGCAGUGAUGGGCGUUACCAGAGAGGGCGAUGGCCAGAGGACACAAAUGGGACGGGGAGGCAGCACGUUGGGGACGCGACACGGCUCGGGCCCGCCAGUGCCCCAACGGGGUCCUAGUUAGGGCCCGAGCCAGCUGCAGAGCAGCCGGGCGUAGGCCCUAUUAUUCCCCAAGUGGUUUUUCUUUGUUUCUUUCUUUCUUUCUUUCUUCUUUUUCCUCCCCUUUGAACUGGAAAAUGGCCCACUUCCCACUGGCGAAAACUCAUGAAAUUUGGCAGGACGACCGGGCCUGGUGAAAAAUUCGAUAUUCUGAAGUUGCCCAAACAAUAAAAUGCAAAAUGGCUCCAUAGCGCCCCCUAAGGUGGAAAUUCACACUAUUGACUGUCACGCCUGUACGCUUUGUCAUAUUGACACAAAAAUUGACACACAUAUGUAUCUCAAUAAGAUCUACAAAAAAGUCAGUGCGGGCGUAUCUGUCAAAUGUACGGUUAAAGGGUUAUUUGCAUUUUUUGCCGAUCCGCACACAUUGGAAUUUCGCUAACUCCUCCGAAGGCUUUCGUUCCACCGGCACCACAUUUGCUCAGGCCAAUCUACACCCCGUGGCCAUUAAAAGUUAUCAAAAUCAUGACGCUGCACUCCAAGGUUUAGGUUCUAGGGGGCGCCAAAGAUAACACUAAAAUCCACAUAUUUAAAAGUCUUAUAACUUUUUUUUUUUGUCCUCACUGGCCUCCAAGUUUUCUAGGAUGAUGCAAUGUCCAGCCAUCAACACAUUUGUGAAGGAAUUUUUACUCCCCAAAAGAGCGCCCCCCCAUGGCAGGAGAAAAAAGUCAAUUUUUUCUUGUCCCCUAAGGUGAAAAUACACAUUGUUGAGUGUCACGCCUAUACGCUUUGUCAAAAUGACACAAAAAUUGACACACACAUGUAACUCAAUAAGAUCUACGAAAAAGUCAAUGCGCGCGUAUCUGUCAAAUGUACGGUUAAAGGGUUAUUCCGCAUUUUUUGCCGAUCCGCACACAUUGGAAUGUGGCUAACUCCUCCUAAGGCUUUCGUUCCACCGGCACCACAUUUGCUUAGGCCAAUCUACACCCCAUGGCCAUUAAAAGUUAUUCAAAUCAUGACGCUGCACCCCACGGUUUAGGUUCUAGGGGGCGCCAAAGAUAACCCUAAAAUCCACAUAUUUAAAAGUCUUAUAACUUUUUAUUUUUGUCCUCACUGGCCUCCAAGUUUUCUAGGAUGAUGCAAUGUCCAGCCAUCAACACAUUUGUGAAGGAAUUUUUACUCCCCAAAAGAGCGCCCCCCCAUGGCAGGAGAAAAAAGUCCAUUUUUUCUUGUCCCCUAAGGUGAAAAUACAUUUUGUUGAGAUUCACGCCUAUACGCUUUGUCAUAUUGACACAAAAUUUGACAAUCACGUGCCUUGCCUGGUAUCAUUUUUUUCAGCACAACCUCACCUGUGCGAAUUUACAGUUAUUUUAUCAUGUUGACAUACUGAAUUUACACAAUGGACCCAAAUUCACACACAAAACAUAAAAUCCGAGUGGAAAAAAGUAACAUUUUUACUGUGAAAACCACAAAUAUGUGUGAUGAACUGUUUUUAAAACUUAAACUUCAAAUAAAAAUUGUAAACUUCAAAACAUAUGCAAAUUUUUAACAAAGAACAUAGUGAUUUACCUCUAUUUACAUCAAAAUGCAGGCAAUGGCCCAGGCGUUCUUUGUAAAAUUAUUUACAAAACACUGUAUAGUCUCACAAAUGUCACUUUUUAUUUAUGCCACUACAAAAAAACAUGAUGUAAAUGAUGCAUGAUGUAAAACAUGAUGUAAAAAACUUGUGUAGAUCCUCCUCUAUGUCAGUCCAUGUGUAAUUUUUCCAUAAUUCUUUGUUUUUUGCAGCAUUUUUGUUAGUGUAACUGCAGAUUGUGCUGACAGUGUCUAUGGCACAAAAAAAAAAAAAAAUUUAAAAUGCCUCAACAUGAACCCCUGGUGGUCUCUGAGGGUGAAACCUGCUAACUGCUGCAGCUCUGUCAGCUUCAGUCUCCCAUGCAGAGCUCUGAGUGCAUGUGUGGCUCUGCACCCUUAGCAGCGUUGCUAACUCCUCAGUAAGGAAAGCCUGCUUCAUGUCAGAGUCUCUAAACUCCAGAAGAAGUCGAUAAAAGUCCCUUUCUUUCUAAAAAAAAGUCGUUAGGGGGUCUGAAAAGUCAUUGAAUCUAACAACAAAGUCGCUAGGUUUGCAACUACGUGUCCCAGACUGCAUCCCUGCUGAGAGUCCCUCCCUCCCUUCUCAUGUUGCAGGAAGAACGUAAGCACCCGCCCCUUGUCAAUCAGUCACCAUAUAAUUUUGGAUUGGUUGUUGUGGUGAAGUUUUCCACCAAUAGGAGAGAUGUUGUGGUGUGUUUUUUUUUCUUUUGGCAAGCCUUUUCCGCCUGUAAGACCUGUCGCUAAUGUCUGCAUGCUAUGUUUUCCUGUCUCAUACAGCGCGAUCGAGCGCCGAACGUGAUCAAAAUAAGCAGAAAAAAAGUAUCGCGGACAUAAUUUAUCAUAACUCUGGUUUUAUUUGGCCUAUCAACACAAUUUAAAAACUGGUAUAUAGGUUGAGGUCCUCACUUUUGAGAUAAGUUGAAACGGAGAGUCAACGAGGCUCCGUCUUGCAGCUACAUCCGGUUAAAUAUGUCAUGUGACUUGAACGCACACACAGACACACACACACACGCACACACACACACACACACUCAGAGUCUGGUUUUUAGCACCUGCAAAAACAUGCUAUUUACAUAUUUGACAAGAAUGCAGAGGCUCCUUUUGCCCCUGAAAAAAAUCAAAUUUCAAACACAACUUGACUGCUCAUUUCUCCAAAAGACAACCAUGAAGCUCCAUCCAAACCUGAAGCAGGCAGUUGGUGCAUGUGUACAGUAACCUGAGGGGAGUGAGGUGAGUGCUUCUGAGGAGAACAUGAGCAGUGAAGAUUCACCUUGGAGCUAGAACAGAGACAUGCACAUGAUUAUACAGGGGCAGGGGCUCAAGUUUUUUCCAGUCGUUUAUACAAUAUGGAAAUUAAUGUGAAAUUAAAACACAAAGUAUUAAUAGAAAGGUAAUGACUGUCCUGUGUAGGUGACAGUGAUAUCCAAUAGGCUAGGCACUCACGAGGCUGGCUGUGGCAAGUGUAAGUGAAAGCAACACGCACUGGCAGGAAGAACAGCAAACGCCGAUGAAGGAAAAGGGUCUUUGCAGUGAUGGGCGUUACCAGAGAGGGCGAUGGCCAGAGGACACAAAUGGGACGGGAAGGCAGCACGUUGGGGGGGGGGGGGGGGCGCGACACGGCUCGGGCCCGCCAGUGCCCCAACGGGGUCCUAGUUAGGGCCCGAGCCAGCUGCAGAGCAGCCGGGCGUAGAGCCCUAUUAUUCCUGAUGAGUUUUUCUUUCUUCUUUCUUUCUUUCUUUCUUUCUUUCUUCUUAUUUUUCCUCCCCUUUGAAGGGGAAAAUGGCCCACUUCCCACUGGCGAAAACUCAUGACAUUUGGCAGGAUGACCGGGCCUGGUGAAAAAUUCGAGUUUUUCCUGCCCAUCGCUCAAUGGCUCAAACGCAUCGCUCUCUCGGCAAAACCUAAAGGAGGAGCACCUUGCCAUUUGGAUAUAUACUAGCUGUGUUUGUGCCCUCACUCAUGGUCCAGACUUUUUUCAAAAAGGACAUGGAGUUUGUCUGCAGCGAGCGUUUUGGUAGAAACUGCGCCUCCCAUUCAUUAUAAUGGUAAAUGACCACAGACAAGUGCGCACACCAUCUUUGGACCUUGAGUGUGAUGCGAUCGGGAGGGGUAGGCGGUCGCGCUGGGGGCGGCGCGACACGGCUCGGGCCCGCCAGUGCCCCAACGGGGCCCUAGUUAUUAUUUUUCCUCCCCUUUGAACUGGAAAAUGGCCCACUUCCCACUGGCGAAAACUCAUGAAAUUUGGCAGGACGACCGGGCCUGGUGAAAAAUUUGAUAUUCCGAAGUCGCCCAAACAAGAAAAUGCAAAAUGGCUCCAUAGCGCCCCCUAAGGUGAAAAUUCACACUAUUGACUGUCACGCCUGUACGCUUUGUCAAAAUGACACAAAAAUUGACACACACAUGUAUCUCAAUAAGAUCUACAAAAAAGUCAGUGCGGGCGUAUCUGUCAAAUGUACGGUUAAAGGGUUAUUUCGCAUUUUUUGCCGAUCCGCACACAUUGGAAUUUCGCUAACUCCUCCGAAGGCUUUCGUUCCACCGGCACCACAUUUGCUCAGGCCAAUCUACACCCCAUGGCCAUUAAAAGUUAUUCAAAUCAUGACGCUGCACCCCACGGUUUAGGUUCUAGGGGGCGCCAAAGAUAACCCUAAGAUCCACAUAUUUAAAAGUCUUAUAACUUUUUAUUUUUGCCCUCACUGGCCUCCAAGUUUUCUAGGAUGAUGCAAUGUCCAGCCAUCAACACAUUUGUGAAGGAAUUUUUACUCCCCAAAAGAGCGCCCCCCCAUGGCAGGAGAAAAAAGUCCAUUUUUUCUUGUCCCCUAAGGUGAAAAUACACAUUGUUGAGUGUAACACCUGUACGCUUUGGCAAAAUGACACCAAAAUUGAGACACACAUGUAUCUCAAUAAGAUCUACAAAAAAGUCAAUGCGCACGUAUCUGUCAAAUGUACGGUUAAAGGGUUAUUCCGCAUUUUUUGCCGAUCCGCACACAUUGGAAUUUCGCUAACUCCUCCGAAGGCUUUCGUUCCACCGGCACCACAUUUUCUCAGGCCAAUCUACACCCCAUGGCCAUUAAAAGUUAUUCAAAUCAUGACGCUGCACCCCACGGUUUAGGUUCUAGGGGGCGCCAAAGAUAACCGUAAAAUCCACAUAUUUAAAAGUCUUAUAACUUUUUAUUUUUGUCCCCACUGGCCUCCAAGUUUUCUAGGAUGAUGCAAUGUCCAGCAAUCAACACAUUUGUGAAGGAAUUUUUACUCGCCAAAAGAGCGCCCCCCCAUGGCAGGAGAAAAAAGUCCAUUUUUUCUUGUCCACUAAGGUGAAAAUACACAUUGUUGAGUGCUACGCCUGUAUGUUUUGUCGUAUUGACACAAAAUUUUACAUACACGUGUCUUUCAAUAAGAUCUACAAAAAAGUCAAUGCGCACGUAUCUGUCAAAUGUACGGUUAAAGGGUUAUUCCGCAUUUUUUGCCGAUCCGCACACAUUGGAAUUUCGCUAACUCCUCCGAAGGCUUUCGUUCCACCGGCACCACAUUUGCUCAGGCCAAUCUACACCCCAUGGCCAUUAAAAGUUAUUCAAAUCAUGACGCUGCACCCCACGGUUUAGGUUCUAGGGGGCGCCAAAGAUAACCCUAAAAUCCACAUAUUUAAAAGUCUUAUAACUUUUUAUUUUUGUCCUCACUGGCCUCCAUGUUUUCUAGGAUGAUGCAAUGUCCAGCCAUCAACACAUUUGUGAAGGAGUUUUUUCUCGUUAAAAGAGCGCCCCCCCAUGGCAGGAGAAUAAAGUCAAGUUUUUCCUGUUCAUCAUUCAAUGGCUCAAACGCACUGCUCUCUCGGCAAAAGCGAAAGGAGGAGCAACUUGCCAUUUGGAUAUAUCUUAGCUGUGUUUGUGCCCUCACUCAUGGUCCAGACUUUUUUCAAAUAGGACAUGGAGUUUUUCUGCAGCGAGCGUUUUGGUAGAAACUGCGCCUCCCGUUCAUUAUAAUGGUAAAUGACCACAAACAAGUGCGCACACCAUCUUUGGACCUUGAGUGUGACGCGAUCGGGUGGGGGAGGCGGUUGUGCUGGGGGCGGCGUGACACGGCUCGGGCCCGCCAGUGCCCCAACGGGGCCCUAGUCUCUUCUUUUUCCUCCCCUUUGAACUGGAAAAUGGCCCACUUCCCACUGGCGAAAACUCAUGAAAUUUGGCAGGACGACCGGGCCUGGUGAAAAAUUCGAUAUUCUGAAGUCGCCCAAACAAUAAAAUGCAAAAUGGCUCCAUAGCGCCCCCUAAGGUGGAAAUUCACACUAUUGACUGUCACGCCUGUACGCUUUGUCAUAUUGACACAAAAAUUGACACACAUAUGUAUCUCAAUAAGAUCUACAAAAAAGUCAGUGCGGGCGUAUCUGUCAAAUGUACGGUUAAAGGGUUAUUCCGCAUUUUUUGCCGAUCCGCACACAUUGGAAUGUGGCUAACUCCUCCUAAGGCUUUCGUUCCACCGGCACCACAUUUGCUCAGGCCAAUCUACACCCCAUGGCCAUUAAAAGUUAUUCAAAUCAUGACGCUGCACCCCACGGUUUAGGUUCUAGGGGGCGCCAAAGAUAACCCUAAAAUCCACAUAUUUAAAAGUCUUAUAACUUUUUAUUUUUGCCCUCACUGGCCUCCAAGUUUUCUAGGAUAAUGCAAUGUCCAGCCAUCAACACAUUUGUGAAGGAAUUUUGACUCCCCAAAAGAGCGCCCCCCCCAUGGCAGGAGAAAAAAGUCCAUUUUUUCUUGUCCCCUAAGGUGAAAAUACACAUUGUAGAGUGUCACGCCUGUACGCUUUGUCAAAAUGACACAAAAUUUGACAUACACGUGUAUUUCAAUAAGAUCUUCGAAAAAGUUUAUGGCCACGUAUCUGUAAAAUGUACGGUUAAAGGGUUAUUUUGCAUUUUUUGCAGAUCCGCACACAUUGGAAUGUGGCUAACUCCUCCUAAGGCUUUUGUUCCACUAGCACCACAUUUGCUCAGGCCAAUCUACACCCCGUGGCCAUUAAAAGUUAUUAAAAUCAUGACGCUGCACCCCACGGUUAAGGUUCUAGGGGGCGCCAAAGAUAACCCUAAAAUCCACAUAUUUAUAAAGUCUUAUAACUUUUUAUUUUUGUCCUCACUGGCCUCCAAGUUUUCUAGGAUGAUGCAAUGUCCAGCCAUCAACACAAUUGUGAAGGAAUUUUUACUCCCCAAAAGAACGCCCCCCCAUGGCAGGAGAAAAAAGUCCACUUUUUCUUGUCCCAUAAGGUGAAAAUACACAUUGUUGACUGUCAUACCUGUACGCUUUGUCAUAUUGACACAAAAUUUGACACACACAUGUAUCUCAAUAAGAUCUACGAAAAAGUCAAUGCGCGCGUAUCUGUAAAAUGUACGGUUAAAGGGUUAUUCCGCAUUUUUUGCCGAUCCGCACACAUUGGAAUGUGGCUAACUCCUCCUAAGGCUUUCGUUCCACCGGCACCACAUUUGCUCAGGCCAAUCUACACCCCAUGGCCAUUUAAAGUUAUUCAAAUCAUGACGCUGCACCCCACGGUUUAGGUUCUAGGGGGCGCCAAAGAUAACCCAAAAAUCCACAUUCUUAAUAGUCUUAUAACUUUUUAUUUUUGUCCUCACUGGCCUCCAAGUUUUCUAGGAUGAUGCAAUGUCCAGCCAUCAACACAUUUGUAAAGGAAUUUUUACUCCCGAAAAGAGCGCCCCCCCAUGGCAGGAGAAAAAAGUCAAUUUUUUCUUGUCCCCUAAGGUGAAAAAACACAUUGUUGACUGUCACGCCUAUACGCUUUGUCAAAAUGACACAAAAAUUGACACACAUGUGUAUCUUAAUACGGUCUACAAAAAAGUCAGCGCGGGCGCAUCUGUGAAAUGUACGGUUAGAGGGUUAUUUCGCAUUUUUUGCAGAUCUGCACACAUUGGAAUUUCGCUAACUCCUCCGAAGGCAUUCAUUCCACCGGCACCACAUUUGCUCAGGCCAAUCUACACCCCAUGGCCAUUAAAAGUUGUACAAAUCAUGACGCUGCACCCCACGGUUUAGGUUCUAGGGGGCGCCAAAGAUGACCCAAAUAUCCACAUUCUUAAAAGAAUCCACAUCCCCCCCCCCCCCCCCCCCCCAAGGCAGGAGAAAAAGUCAAGUUAACCCUGCCCGUCGCUCAAUGGCUCAAUCGCAUCGCUCUCCCGGCAACACCGUGAGGAGGAGCAACUUGCCAUUUGGAUAUAUCCUAGCUGUGUUUGUGCCCUCACUCAUGGUCCAGACUUUUUUCAAAUAGGACAUGUAGUUUGUCUGCAGCGACCGUUUUGGUAGAAACUGCGCCUCCCAUUCAUUAUAAUGGGAAAUGACCACAGACAAGUGCGCACACCAUCUUCGGACCUUGAGUGUGAUGCGAUCGGGAGGGGGAGGCGGUCGCGCUGGGGGCGGCGCGACGCGGCUCGGGCCCGACAGUGCCCCACCGGGGCCCUAGUUAUUAUUAUUUUUCCUCCGCUUUAAACUGGAAAAUGGCCCACUUCCCACUGGCGAAAACUCAUGAAAUUUGGCAGGACGACCGGGCCUGGUGAAAAAUUCGAUAUUCUUAAGUCGCCCAAACAAUAAAAUGCAAAAUGGCUCCAUAGCGCCCCCUAAGGUGAAAAUUCACACUAUUGACUGUCAUGCCUGUACGCUUUGUCAAAAUGACACAAAAAUUGACACACACAUGUAUCUCAAUAAGAUCUACAAAAAAGUCAGUGCGGGCGUAUCUGUCAAAUGUACGGUUAAAGGGUUAUUUCGCAUUUUUUGCAGAUCCCCACACAUUGGAAUUUCGCUAACUCCUCUGAAGACUUUCGUUCCACCAGCACCACAUUUGCUCAGGCCAAUCUACACCCCAUGGCCAUUAAAAGUUGUACAAAUCAUGACGCUGCACCCCACGGUUUAGGUUCUAGGGGGCGCCAAAGAUAACCCAAAAAUCCACAUUCUUUAAAGUCUUAUAACUUUUUAUUUUUGUCCUCACUGGCCUCCAAGUUCUCUAGGAUGAUGCAAUGUCCAGCCAUCAACACAUUUGUGAAGGAAUUUUUACUCCCCAAAAGAGCGCCCCCCCAUGGCAGGAGAAAAAAGUUAAUUUUUUCUUGUCCCCUAGGGUGAAAAUACACAUUGUUCAGUGUCACGCCUGUACGCUUUGUCAUAUUGACACAAAAUUUGACAAUCACGUGUAUCUCAAUAAGAUCUACGAAAAAGUCAAUGCGCACGUAUCUGUAAAAUGUACGGUUAAAGGGCUAUUUCGCAUUUUUUGCCGAUUCGCACACAUUGGAAUGUGGCUAACUCCUCCUAAAGCUUUCGUCCCAUCGGCACCAAAUUUGCUCAGGCCAAUCUACACCCCAUGGCCAUUCAAAGUUGUACAAAUCAUGACGCUGCACUCCACGGUUUACGUUCAAGGGGGCGCCAAAGAGGACCCAAAUAUCCACAAUUUCAAAAGUCUUAUAACUUUUUGUUUUUGUCCUCACUGGCCUCCAAGUUUUCUAGGAUAAUGCAAUGUUCAGCCAUCAACACAUUUGUGAAAGAAUUUUUUCUCCCCAAACGAGCGCCCCCCCAUGGCAGGAGAAAAAGUUAAGUUUUUCCUGCCCAUCGCCCAAUGGCUCAAACGCAUCGCUCUCUCGGCAAAACCGAAAGGAGGAGCAACUUGCCAUUUGGAUAUAUCGAAGCUGUGUUUGUGCCCUCACUCAUGGUCCAGACUUUUUUCAAAAAGGACAUGGAGUUUGUCUGCAGCGAGCGUUUUGGUAGAAACUGCGCCUCCCAUUCAUUAUAAUGGUAAAUGACCACAGACAAGUGCGCACACCAUCUUUGGACCUUGAGUGUGACUCGAUCGGGAGGGGGAGGGGGUCGCGCUGGGGGCAGCACGACACGGCUCGGGCCCGCCAGUGCCCCAGCGGGGCCCUAGUUCUUUGUUUCUUUCUUUCUUUAGGGCCCGAGCGUAGCUGCUAAGCAGCUGCGAGAGCCCUAUUAUUCCCCAAGUGGUUUUUCUUUGUUUCUUUUUAGGGCCCGAGCGUAGCUGCUAAGCAGCUGCGAGAGCCCUCUUGUUCCUGAUGGAUUCUUCUUUUGUUAUUAUUAGGGCCCGAGCGUAGCUGCUAAGCAGCUGCGAGAGCCCUGUUGUUCCUGAUAAGUUUUUCUUUCUUCUUUCUUUCUUUCUUUCUUUCUUCUUAUUUUUCCUCCCCUUUGAGGGGGAAAAUGGCCCACUUCCCACUGGCGAAAACUCAUGAAAUUUGACAGGACGACCGGGCCUGGUGAAAAAUUCGAUAUUCUGAAGUCGCCCAAACAAUGAAAUGCAAAAUGGCUCCAUAGCGCCCCCUAAGGUGAAAAUUCACACUAUUGACUGUCACGCCUGUACGCUUUGUCAUAUUGACACAAAAAUUGACACACACAUGUAUCUCAAUAAGAUCUACAAAAAAGUCAGCGCGGGCGUGUCUGUCAAAUGUACGGAUAAAGGGUUAUUUCGCAUUUUUUGCCGAUCCGCACACAUUGGAAUUUCGCUUACUCCUCCGAAGACUUUCGUUCCACCGGCACCACAUUUGCUCAGGCCAAUCUACACCCCAUGGCCAUUAAAAGUUGUACAAAUCAUGACGCUGCACCCCACGGUUUACGUUCUAGGGGGCGCCAAAGAUAACCCAAAAAUCCACAGUCUUAAAAGUCUUAUAACUUUUUAUUUUUGUCCUCACUGGCCUCCAAGUUCUCUAGGAUGAUGCAAUGUCCAGCAAUUAACACAUUUGUGAAGGAAUUUUUACUCGCCAAAAGAGCGCCCCCCCAUGGCAGGAGAAAAAAGUCAAUUUUUUCUUGUCCCCUAAGGCGAAUAUACACAUUGUUGAGUGUCACGCCUGUACGCUUUGUCAUAUUGACACAAAAUUUGACAAUCACGUGUAUCUCAAUAAGAUCUACGAAAAAGUCAAUGUGCGCGUAUCUGUAAAAUUUACAGUUAAAGGGCUAUUUCGCAUUUUUUGCCGAUUCGCACACAUUGGAAUGUGGCUAACUCCUCCUAAGGCUUUCGUUCCACUGACACCAAAUUUGCUCAGGCCAAUCUACACCCCAUGGCCAUUCAAAGUUGUACAAAUCAUGACGCUGCAUCCCACGGUUUACGUUCUAGGGGGCGCCAAAGAUGACCCAAAUAUCCACAUUUUUAAAAGUCUUAUAACUUUAUUUUUGUCCUCACUGGCCUCCAAGUUUUCUAGGAUGAUGCAAUGUUCAGUCAUCAACACAUUUGUGAAGGAAUUUUUUUUUCCCCAAAAGAGCGCCCCCCCCAUGGCAGGAGAAAAAGUCAAGUUUUUCCUGCCCAUCGCUCAAUGGCUCAAAUUCAUCGCUCCCUCGGCAAAACCGAAAGGAGGAGCACCUUGCCAUUUGGGUAUAUACUAGCUGUGUUUGUGCCCUCACUCAUGGUCCAGACUUUUUUCAAAAAGGACAUGGAGUUUGUCUGCAGCGAGCGUUUUGGUAGAAACUGCGCCUCCCAUUCAUUAUAAUGGUAAAUGACCACAGACAAGUGCGCACACAAUCUUUGGACCUUUAGUGUGACGCGAUCAGGAGGGGUAGGUGGUCGCGCUGGGAGCGGCGCGACACGGCUCGGGCCCGCCAGUGCCCCAACGGGGCCCUAGUUAUUAUUAUUUUUCCUCCGCUUUAAACUGGAAAAUGGCCCACUUCCCACUGGCGAAAACUCAUGAAAUUUGGCAGGACGACCGGGCCUGGUGAAAAAUUCGAUAUUCUGAAGUCGCCCAAACAAUAAAAUGCAAAAUGGCUCCAUAGCGCCCCCUAAGGCGAAAAUUCACACUAUUGACUGUCACGCCUGUACGCUUUGUCAUAUUGACACAAAAAUUGACACACACGUGUAUCUCAAUACGGUCUACGAAAAAGUCAGCGCGUGCGCAUCUGUGAAAUGUACGGUUAGAGGGUUAUUUCGCAUUUUUUGCAGAUCUGCACACAUUGGAAUUUCGCUAACUCCUCCGAAGGCAUUCGUUCCACCGGCACCACAUUUGCUCAGGCCAAUCUACACCCCAUGGCCAUUAAAAGUUAUUCAAAUCAUGACGCUGCACCCCACGGUUUAGGUUCUAGGGGGCGCCAAAAAUAACCCUAAAAUCCACAUAUUUCAAAGUCUUAUAACUUUUUAUUUUUGUCCUCACUGGCCUCCAAGUUUUCUAGGAUGAUGCAAUGUCCAGCCAUCAACACAUUUAUGAAGGAAUUUUUACUCCCCAAAAGAGCGCCCCCCCAUGGCAGGAGAAAAAAGUCCAUUUUUUCUUGUCCCCUAAGGUGAAAAUACACAUUGUUGAGUGUCACGCCUUUACGCUUUGGCAAAAUGACACAAAAAUUGACACACACAUGUAUCUCAAUAAGAUCUACGAAAAAGUCAUUGGGCGCGUAUCUGUCAAAUGUACGGUUAAAGGGUUAUUCCGCAUUUUUUGCCCAUCCGCACACAUUGGAAUUUCGCUAACUCCUCCGAAGGCUUUCGUUCCACCGGCACCACAUUUGCUCAGGCCAAUCUACACCCCAUGGCCAUUAAAAGUUAUUCAAAUCAUGACGCUGCACCCCACGGUUUACGUUCUAGGGGGCGCCAAAGAUAACCCAAAAAUCCACAUUUUUAAAAGUCUUAUAACUUUUUAUUUUUGUCCUCACUGGCCUCCAAAUUUUCUAGGAUGAUGCAAUGUCCAGCCAUCAACACAUUUGUGAAGGAAUUUUUACUCCCUAAAAGAGCGCCCCCCCAUGGCAGGAGAAAAAAGUCCAUUUUUUCUUGUCCCCUAAGGUGAAAAUACACAUUGUUGACUGUCACGCCUGUACGCUUUGGCAAAAUGACACAAAAAUUGACAAUCAUGUGUAUCUCAAUUAGAUCUACGAAAAAGUCAAAGAGCGCGUAUCUGUAUAAUGUACGGUAAAAGGGCUAUUUUGCAUUUUUUGCCGAUUCGCACACAUUGGAAUUUCGCUAACUCCUCCUAAGGCUUUCGUCCCACUGACACCAAAUUUGCUCAGGCCAAUCUACACUCCAUGGCCAUUCAAAGUUGUAAAAAUCAUGACGCUGCACCCCACGGUUUACGUUUUAGGGGGCGCCAAAGAUGACCCAAAUAUACAUUACAGUAGACAAAGUAGUUUUGCCCACUGAGUGGCGCCAAAGGGACUUGUCUGUGGAGUCUGUGAGUCACUAUUGGCCGUUUUUGACUACUUUAGAUUUUACCUUUAUAUUUCCUCUUACAAAAUUUUUACCUUGCCUUGCCUGGUAUCAUUUUUUUCAGCACAGCCUCACCUGUGUCAAUUUACAGUUAUUUUAUCAUUUUGACAUACUAUAUUUACACAUUGGACCCAAAUUCACACACAAAACAUAAAAUCCGAGUGGAAAAAAGUAACGUUUUUACUGUGAAAACCACAAAUAUGUGUGAUGAACUGUUUUUAAAACUUAAACUUCAAAUAAAAAUUGUAAACUUCAAAACAUAUGCAAAUUUUUAACAAAGAACAUAGUAAUUUACCUCUAUUGACAUCAAAAUGCAGGCAAUGGCCCAGGUGUUCUUUGUAAAAUUAUUUCCAAAACACUGUAUAGUCUCACAAAUGUCACUUUUUAUUUAUGCCACUACAAAAAAACAUGAUGUAAAUGAUGCAUGAUGUAAAACAUGAUGUAAAAAACUUGUGUAGAUCCUCCUCUAUGUUAGUCCAUGUGUAAUUUUUCCAUAAUUCUUUGUUUUUUGCAGCAUUUUUGUUAGUGUAACUGCAGAUUGUGCUGACAGUGUCUAUGGCACAAAAAAAAAAACAAAAAACUGAAAAUGCCUCAACAUGAACCCCUGGUGGUCUCUGAGGGUGAAACCUGCUAACUGCUGCAGCUCUGUCAGCUUCAGUCUCCCAUGCAGAGCUCGGAGCGCAUGUGUGGCUCUGCACCCUUAGCAGCGUUGCUAACUCCUCAGUAAGGAAAGCCUGCUUCAUGUCAGAGUCUCUAAACUCCAGAAGGAGUCGAUAAAAGUCACUUUCUUUCUAAAAAAGUCGUUAGGGGGUCUGAAAAGUCAUUGAAUCUAACAACAAAGUCGCUAGGUUUGCAACUACGUGUCCCAGACUGCAUCCCUGCUGAGAGUCCCUCCCUCCCUUCUCAUAUUGCAGGAAGAACGUAAGUUCCCGCCCCUUGUCAAUCAGUCACCAUAUAAUUUUGGAUUGGUUGUUGUGGUGAAGUUUUCCACCAAUAGGAGAGAUGUUGUGGUGUGUAUUUUUUUUCCUUUGGCAAGCCUUUUCCGCCUGUAAGACCUGUCGCUAAUUUCUGCAUGCUAUGUUUUCCUGUCUCAUACAGCGCGAUCGAGCGCCGAACGUGAUCAAAAUAAGCAGAAAAAAAGUAUCGCGGACAUAAUUUAUCAUAACUCUGGUUUUAUUUGGCCUAUCAACACAAUUUAAAAACUGGUAUAUAGGUUGAGGUCCUCACUUUUGAGAUAAAUUGAAACGGAGAGUCAACGAGGCUCCGUCUUGCAGCUACAUCCGGUUAAAUAUGUCAUGUGACUUGAACGCACACACACACACACACACAGACACACACGCACACACACACACACUCAGAGUCUGGUUUGUAGCACCUGCAAAAACAUGCUAUUUACAUAUUUGACAAGAAUGCAGAGGCUCCUUUUGCCCCUGAAAAAAAUCAAAUUUCAAACACAACUUGACUGGUCAUUUCUCCAAAAGACAACCAUGAAGCUCCAUCCAAACCUGAAGCAGGCAGUUGGUGCAUGUGUACAGUAACCUGAGGGGAGUGAGGUGACUGCUUCUGAGGAGAACAUGAGCAGUGAAGAUUUACCUUAGAGCUAGAACAGAGACGUGCACAUGAUUAUACAGGGGCAGGGGCUCAAGUUUUUUCCAGUCGUUUAUACAAUUUGGAAAUUAAUGUGAAAUUAAAAAACAAAGUAUUAAUAGAAAGGUAAUGACUGUCCUGUGUAGGUGACAGUGAUAUCCAAUAGGCUAGGCACUCACGAGGCUGGCUGUGGCAAGUGUAAGUGAAAGCAACACGCACUGGCAGGAAGAACAGCAAACGCCGAUGAAGGAAAAGGGUCUUUGCAUUGAUGGGCGUUACCAAAGAGGGCGAUGGCCAGAGGACACAAAUGGGACGGGGAGGCAGCGCGUUGGGGGGGGGACGCGACACAGCUCGGGCCCGCCAGUGCCCCAACGGGGUCCUAGUUAUUAUUUUUCCUCCGCUUUAAACUGGAAAAUGGCCCACUUCCCACUGGCGAAAACUCAGGAAAUUUGGCAGGACGACCGGGCCUGGUGAAAAAUUCGAUAUUCUGAAGUCGCCCAAACAAUAAAAUGCAAAAUGGCUCCAUAGCGCCCCCUAAGGUGAAAAUUCACACUUUUGACUGUCACGCCUGUACGCUUUGUCAUAUUGACACAAAAAUUGACACACACAUGUAUCUCAAUAAGAUCUAAAAAAAAGUCAGUGCGGGCGUAUCUGUCAAAUGUACGGUUAAAGGGUUAUUUCGCAUUUUUUGCAGAUCCGCACACAUUGGAAUUUUGUUAACUCCUCCGAAGGCUUUCGUUCCACCGGCACCACAUUUGCUCAGGCCAAUCUACACUCCAUGGCCAUUCAAAGUUGUACAAAUCAUGAUGUUGCACCCCAUGGUUUAGGUUCUAGGGGGCGCCAAAAAUAACCCAAAAAUCCACAUUCUUAAAAGUUUUAUAACUUUUUUUUUUUGUCCUCACUGGCCUCCAAGUUUUCUAGGAUGAUGCAAUGUCCAGCCAUCAACACAUUUGUGAAGGAAUUUUUACUCCCCAAAAGAGCGCCCCCCAUGGCAGGACAAAAAAGUCAAUUUUUUCUUGUCCCCUAAGGUGAAAAUACACAUUGUUGAGAUUCACGCUUGUACGCUUUGUCAUAUUGACAAAAAAUUUGACACACACGUGUAUCUCAAUAAGAUCUACGAAAAAGUCAAUGCGCGCGUAUCUGUAAAAUGUAUGGCUAAAGGGCUAUUUUGCAUUUUUUGCCGAUUCGCACACAUUGGAAUGUGGCUAACUCCUCCUAAGGCUUUCGUCCCACUGACACCAAAUUUGCUCAGGCCAAUCUACACCCCAUGGCCAUUCAAAGUUGUAAAAAUCAUGCCGCUGCACUCCAUGGUUUACGUUCUAGGGGUCGCCAAAGAUAACCCAAAAAUCCACAUUCUUAAAAGUCUUAUAACUUUUCAUUUUUGUCCUCACUGGCUUCAAAGUUUUCUAGGAUGAUGCAAUGUCUAGCCAUCAACACAUUUGUGAAGGAAUUUUUUCUCCCUAAAAGAGUGCCCCCCCAUGGCAGGAGAAAAAGUCAAGUUUUUCCUGCCCAUCGCUCAAUGGCUCAAACACAUCGCUCUCUCGGAAAAAAACGAAAGGAGGAGGAACUUGCCAUUUGGAUAUAUCCUAGCUGUGUUUGUGCCCUCACUCAUGGUCCAGACUUUUUUCAAAUAGGACAUGUAGUUUGUCUGCAGCAAGCGUUUUGGUAGAAACUGCGCCUCCCAUUCAUUAUAAUGGUAAAUGACCACAGACAAGUGCGCACACCAUCGUUGAACCUUGAGUGUGACGCGAUCGGGAGGGAGAGGCGGUCGUGUUGGGGGCGGCGUGACACAGCUCGGGCCCGCCAGUGCCCCAACGGGGCCCUAGUCUUCUUCUUCUUAUUAUUUUUCUGCCCCUUUGAACUGGAAAAUGGCCCACUUUCCACUGGUGAAAACUCAUGAAAUUUGGCAGGACAACCGGGCCUGGUGAAAAAUUCGAUAUUCUGAAGUCACCCAAACAAUCAAUUGCAAAAUGGCUCCAUAGCGCCCCCUAAGGUGAAAAAUUCACAUGAUUGAGUGUCACGCCUGUACGCUUUGUCAAAAUGACACAAAAUUUGACACACACGUGUAUCUCAAUAAGAUCUACAAAAAAGUCAGUGCGGGCGUAUCUGUCAAAUGUACGUUUAAAGGGCUAUUUCGCAUUUUUUGCCGAUCCGCACACAUUGGAAUUUCGCUAACUCCUCCGAAGGCUUUCGUUCCACCGGCACCACAUUUGCUCAGGCCAAUCUAACCCCCAUGGCCAUUCAAAGUUGUACAAAUCAUGACACUGCACCCCACGGUUUACGUUGUAGGGGGCGCCAAAGGUAACCCAAAAAUCCACAUUCUUACAAGUCUUAUAACUUUUUAUUUCUGUCCUCACUGGCCUCCAAGUUUUCUAGGAUGAUGCAAUGUCCAGCCAUCAACACAUUUGUGACGGAAUUUUUACUCCCCAAAAGAGCGCCCCCCAUGGCAGGAGAAAAAAGGCCAUUUUUUCUUGUCCCAUAAGGUGAAAAUACACAUUGUUGAGUGUCACGCCUGUACGCUUUGUCAUAUUGAAACAAAAUUUGACGAUCACGUGUAUCUCAAUAAGAUCUACGAAAAAGUCAAUGCGCACGUGUCUGCAAAAUGUACGGUUAAAGGGCUAUUUCGCAUUUUUGGUUGAUUCGCACACAUUGGAAUGUGGCAAACUCCUCCUAAAGCUUUCGUUCCACCGGCACCAAAUUUGCUCAGGCCAAUCUACACCCCAUGGCCAUUAAAAGUUGUACAAAUCAUGAUGCUGCACCCCACGGUUUACGUUCUAGGGGUCGCCAAAGAUAACCCAAAAAUCCACAUUCUUAAAAGUCUUAUAACUUUUCAUUUUUGUCCUCACUGGCUUCCAAGUUUUCUAGGAUGAUGCAAUGUCCAGCCAUCAACACAUUUGUGAAGGAAUUUUUACUCCCCAAAAGAGCGCCCCCCCAUGGCAGGAGAAAAAGUUAAGUUUUUCCUGCCAGUCGCCCAAUGGCUCAAACGCAUCGCUCUCUCGGCAAAACCGAAAGGAGGAGCAACUUGCCAUUUGAAUAUAUCAAAGCUGUGUUUGUGCCCUCACUCAUGGUCCAGACUUUUUUCAAAAAGGACAUGGAGUUUGUCUGCAGCAAGCGUUUUGGUAGAAACUGUGCCUCCCAUUCAUUAUAAUGGUAAAUGACCACAGACAAGUGCGCACACCAUCUUUGGACCUUGAGUGUGACGCGAUCGGAAGGGGGAGGCGGUCGCGCUGGGGGCGGCGCGACACGGCUCGGGCCCGCCAGUGCCCCACCGGGGCCCUAGUUUCUUCUUUUUCCUCCCCUUUGAACUGUAAAAUGGCCCACUUCCCACUGGCGAAAACUCAUGAAAUUUGGCAGGAUGACCGGGCCUGGUGAAAAAUUUGAUAUUCCGAAGUCGCCCAAACAAGAAAAUGCAAAAUGGCUCCAUAGCGCCCCCUAAGGUGAAAAUUCACACUAUUGACUGUCACGCCUUUACGCUUUGUCAUAUUGACACAAAAAUUGACACACACAUGUAUCUCAAUAAGAUCUAAAAAAAUGUCAGUGCGGGCGUAUCUGUCAAAUGUACGGUUAAAGGGUUAUUCCGCAUUUUUUGCCGAUCCGCACACAUUGGAAUUUCGCUAACUCCUCCGAAGGCUUUCGUUCCACCGGCACCACAUUUGCUCAGGCCAAUCUACACCCCAUGGCCAUUAAAAGUUAUUCAAAUCAUGACGCUGCACCCCACGGUUUAGGUUCUAGGGGGCGCCAAAGAUAACCCUAAAAUCCACAUAUUUCAAAGUCUUAUAACUUUUUAUUUUUGCCCUCACUGGCCUCCAAGUUUUCUAGGAUGAUGCAAUGUCCAGCCAUCAACACAUUUGUGAAGGAAUUUUUAAUCCCCAAAAGAGCGCCCCCCCCCAUGGCAGGAGAAAAAAGUCCAUUUUUUCUUGUCCCAUAAGAUGAAAAAACACAUUGUUGACUGUCAUACCUGUACGCUUUGUCAUAUUGACACAAAAUUUGACAAUCACAUGUAUCUCAAUAAGAUCUACGAAAAAGUCAAUGCGCACGUAUCUGUAAAAUGUACGGUUAAAGGGCUAUUUUGCAUUUUUUGCCGAUUCGCACACAUUGGAAUGUGGCUAACUCCUCCUAAGGCUUUCGUCCCACUGACACCAAAUUUGCUCAGGCCAAUCUACACCCCAUGGCCAUUCAAAGUUGUAAAAAUCAUGACGCUGCACCCCACGGUUUACGUUCUAGGGGGCGCCAAAGAUGACCCAAAUAUCCACAUUCUUAAAAGAAUCCACAUCCCCCCCCCAUCCCCCAACCCCCAUGGCAGGAGAAACAGUCAAGUUUUUCCUGCCCAUCACUCAAUGGCUCAAUCGCAUCACUCUCCCGGCAACACCGUAACGAGGAGCAACUUGCCGUUUGGAUAUAUCCUAGCUGUGUUUGUGCCCUCACUCAUGGUCCAGACUUUUUUCAAAUAGGACAUGUAGUUUGUCUGCAGCGAG
This is a non-coding RNA of Xyrichtys novacula (pearly razorfish), 36661 nucleotides long. The record is from the annotation of a GenBank genome assembly. Lineage: Eukaryota; Metazoa; Chordata; Actinopteri; Labriformes; Labridae.